Molecule: long non-coding RNA, 1236 nt
Filed under: Brassica rapa (field mustard)
Lineage: Eukaryota; Viridiplantae; Streptophyta; Magnoliopsida; Brassicales; Brassicaceae
Description: long non-coding RNA (BRAP_LNC006312)
Source: RNAcentral
CUGCCAUCCUCAAGAGGGAGCUGAUACCAUGGUCUGCUCCAACUGUUUUCAUUUCUUCUUGCUGAUCGAGUUCUACAAGAUGAUGUCGGGAUUCAAUGAUCUCAUGGAUUAAAGAACAUGCUAUACACCAAAACGUUCUUUGCGUUUACAAGUUCAUGUUCUUCAUAACCUUUAAAUUUCUCAUUUUGGAUUUUUGGUACACGUUCAAGAUAUCUUGAAUUUGUAUUCCUUGCUUACUUUGUUUCCAUUUUGCAUUUCCCAUUAAAAUACUUUUUAAAAUAAUACGAAAAAAACAUUGCUAUAACAUGACAAAAUAUAUAUAUAUACUUCCCAUGCAAUGAAGCAUGCAAAAUAGUCAAGAUGAUUUGUUUUAAAUGACAAAUUUAUUGUUAUACAAGCACAAUUUUUUUUAAAAAAAUGAAUGUUAUAGAAUUACUAUUUGAUAAAUUGUGUAUGAAAUCCAAUGUCAUUAAAAAUAAAAAAACCUACUAUUUAAUAAAACGUUUUGAAAACUAAUGUUAUUGAGAAUAGUUAAAAUUAUAAUUUUCAGGAGACUUCUAAUCAUUUUAGAAUGUUUAAGUAAAGUUUCUUAUUUAAAAAAAAAACAAAUCUCAUAAUUUUAUAUGUGAUUUUAGAAUGGUCUAACAAAAAUCAUCAUUAAAACUCAAUUGAUCUAAAAUAAUUAAAUUUACUAACAAUCAAUUUCCAGUGAAUGCAUGAAUGAUUACGAUUAUCGAAGACUGAAGAAGUGAACGCAUGAAUGAUUAUCACGAUCAGCAUUGCUUAUCUUCCUCACAGAAGUUCGACAAUCUAAAUGCCUCAUUGAUCUUCCCAUUGAUAUGUACACAAAAAAACGCUGAGAGGAUCUAAGAUGGUUACUGAGAUAUUCAUUUCCAGUGACGUAGAAUAUUUAUUUUAAAUUUAAUUUAUCAGUUCUUUCAAAAUGCUCAGUUUAAGAGCUCAACCCCUUUACCAUAACUUAGUAAAACGAAAUUGAAAAUAAAGAAAACCGCAUGGAUACAACACCAGAUAUUACACUGAGAUACGAAACAUGCGCUCAUAUAUCAACUCCAAAAUAUAAACACUUAAAAACACUAACUUCCCGUAAAGACUAUACCAAUUUAAACACUUUUUAAGAUGCAAAACCUUUCAACAACACUCAACUACAUCACUCCUAACAACUAAAUACCAAAACACAAGAUUUUGAAAAUUGGAUCAAAUAAAAUAUCCGAACCC